CGGAUCCGAUCCAAUUGCAGGUCGGUUGGUUAGGCAGUUCGGACCGGCGGCGCGGCCAUGGCUUCCGACGGCAUCGCCCCCAGAGAUGUAUGUGUUGUUGGGGUUGCACGCACACCUAUGGGUGGUUUCCUUGGUGCCUUGUCUUCCUUGCCUGCAACAAAACUUGGCUCUAUAGCAAUUCAAGCCGCUCUGAAAAGAGCAAACGUGGAUCCGUCCCUUGUGCAGGAGGUCUACUUUGGAAACGUCUUGAGUGCUAAUUUGGGACAAGCUCAUGCAA
This is a long non-coding RNA of Panicum hallii, 277 nucleotides long. RefSeq lists it as uncharacterized. The record is from RefSeq and is a predicted model, not a curated record. The transcript is spliced from 3 exons. Lineage: Eukaryota; Viridiplantae; Streptophyta; Magnoliopsida; Poales; Poaceae.